GACUGCUUGGCGCAAUGGUAGCGCGCGGUCCUCCUAUUAUAGUCUAGUUAAUUCUGGCUGUUAUAGGCAGUGAUAGACUGAGGUUGCGGGUUCGAGUCCCGUGGUGGUCG
This is a non-coding RNA of Hypoxylon trugodes, 110 nucleotides long. Lineage: Eukaryota; Fungi; Ascomycota; Sordariomycetes; Xylariales; Hypoxylaceae. The record is from the annotation of a RefSeq genome assembly.